GGAGCUGUGAGCUGGGGGGACUUUCAGAGUCGCUCUGCAUUAAGAUGGAAAAAAGAAGCUUGGAGAAGGGGAAAUGACUUUACCCAGCUAAGAAUAUGGCAAAGCUGAGCCAACUAGUCAAGUUUUCUGACCCCAAAUCCUGUAUUUCCCAUGACUCAUCUUGUGGAAGGCUGAGAUGCGGAAAUUGAGACUCAAAGAGGUUGAGCAGCAAUUCCGUGAGCUGAAACUUAAGCCCAGAUGCAUGUGAUUCCAGAGGCAGGUCUGCUUCAGGGGACCCCCAAUCUAAGACAGAUAUCCCCAAUUUCACAUGAAGAGACUGAGGCAGCUGGAGGCAAAGCAGCUUGUACAAGACCCCACAAGAAGAGGAGGAGUUGCUUUCUUGAACUGCUGUGGUUUUACCCACAGUCACCGGACCGUGCUGCCGCCCUGGUGGGAGGAUGUGUCUGCCUGCACAGGUUGAACAAUCUCAAGACACCUUGCUGGAAUUGGCAGAACAUUGAGCUCAUUCGGUCACUACCAGGGCUAUCAGGCACAGAGGAUGAGGCAGUCCUGCCCUGCCCUCUAGAACCGAAAGUCUGGACAGGGAGUGGCAGUUAAAUGUGGGGCAGAAUGAGAUCAAUGUCUCCAAGGGGUAACCCUGUCAUCCUCUCCCUUGGAUCUUCUCUGGGAGAGCUGCAGGACAUGAGCGAUCACUCUUUCUUUUCAGAUGGGUAAACUGAGGCUCAGAGAGGAGAUGGACUUGCCCCAGGCCACACGGCUUAUACCUGGCAGAACUGAGUCUGUCCCAGGGCUCUUUGAGCACCUGGGGAUGCAGAAGCUGGCGGGGUGGGAGGUGGCGGGGACUGUGGAAGGCUUCGUGGCUCUCAUGGGCACUCCAGCUCACUGUCUUUACUGCCACAGCCACUGCUUCUACAUUUGCUAUCUCAUUGGAUCAUGGCGCCUUGAACAAAAGUGUCCUUACUCAUUAUCUAAUUGAACUCCCAUUUUACAGGUGGGAAAAUUAAGACCCAGAGAAGGAACUUCCCAGAGAGCUAUCCAGUGAGCCAAGUCAGAGUUAGGAGCAGGAGCCUCAAAUUCCCAGGAAAGCAGCACGGUCCUCGAGUUCCCCCAAAAGCCAGACGGCAUCUUUGACACCUGACUCCCAGGGGCCAGUCCUGGAGAGGACACCUGGCCUGGAGCCAACCUUCCUCUCCUCGCUGCCAAAGCUCUGCUCUCUGGGUUCUGGCACUGUCUGAAAAUUCCUCCGUUGGUCUGCUCUCGGCAGAGCAUAGAUUAUCACUCUUGUGCUAAUUAUUUUUAUGAUUAAAAGAUGAUAAAUUAUUAAACAAAGUCUGAAAAAUGUGCCAAGAUCUGCUCUGAGGCUGGGCCUGAGAAGUUGCCCCCUUGGCGUCCACGUUAAUUAAUAAAUGAGACUCUCCGUGGAGAGGAGCCACAGCUGGUAUAUCUGGCAGCCAGGCAGGAGCUGGCGGAGGCCAGAUGCCAUGCAGGUGGGGAGGAAGGGACUCCCUGGGAGUGCCCAGCCUGGGAUUUGGUAACAGAGUCCCCUCCCUCUCUGCUCCCAGCCUAGGACUCAGCGGAGAGCCCCUUGGUACCAUCCGAACAUCUGGCCUCUGGAAGAGGCCUAGGAUUUCAAGCUGAGAAGCUCCAGCUGAUACUUUAAUGCUGUUCCCCUCUCCAAAUGCAGACUUGGGAGCACCCCAAGUGUCUAAAGGAAGGCCGGAGACCAGGAUUCAAAUCUCUGCGAGCCCAUUUCUCCUUGGGUAACUUUUGGGUAGGUCACUCAAUGAGACGCCAAGCCUCAGUUUCCUCAUCUGUAAAAUGGGUAGAAAUGACAUCUAUUUUUGCAAGGGUAUUGAGAGUGUUAAAUAGGAUAAUGUCUAUCAAGAGCACUCAGCUCCCAGCAGAUGGUCAAAAAAUGUUAGUUGGGCUGACUUGAAGCUUGGGUUUUUUGCUGUGCUGCCAUAACUAGCUGUGAAACAUUGGUCAGGCAGAUUUACCUUUCUGAGCCUCAGUUUCUUUAUCUGUAAAAUGGGAAUGAGAACUCCCAAAUCUUAGGAUCAAAGGGAAAACUAUAUGUGAAGUGUCUAACAAAGAGUAAGUACUCAAUUAAUGGUGGCUAUUUUAUCAUAAUUGUUUAUUACAGCGCCAACACACUGAAGUUUCAACAAGUGGGUAUUCCUCCUUCACCAUGGGCACUUCUUCCUGCAUCCUUUGCUGGUUCUCCUCCCUCCCCACCUUACUCCUUGCAGCGCCCUGGGCUCAGGCCUCCAUGUCUUUCUUCCUUACACUCUCUCCCUUGUGAGCUCAUCCAUCUGUAUGCUGAUGGCUUCCACAUUUCUAAUGCUAGCCUCGACCCUCUUCCCAGAACUCCAGACUCCUACAAGCAGUUGCCCAUUCAAACUCUCCCCUUGGGUGUUUAAUAGAUAUAUCAGAUCUAAUAUGUCUAAUAAUGCAUCUCAAAUGGAAUUCCUCAUCUUCCCCUCUGCAAACCUGUUCCCCACCGCCCCUACAGUCUUCCCCACUUGGUUAAUGAUGGCUCCAUCCUUCUGGUGACACCUUGGAGUCAUCCUUGAUUCUGCUAUUUCUUUCACUUCAAAUACCUAAACCAUCAGGAAACCCGGACAGCUCCACCUUCCACCUCUGUUAGAACCUCAGCACCUAGCCAUCCCCCAUCACCUCCCCCACUCCCACCACCCUAGCAUAAGGCACCAUCACAUCUUACCUGGACUCUUGCAGUAGCCUACUAAUUGCUGUCCCUGCUGCGGUACUUGACCCCUAUAGUAAUGCUCUACAUAGCUGCCAGGAUGAUCCCUUUAAAACACAAACACUAGACCCAGUCACACCUGCUUAUAAUCCUCCAAGAGGCAAAGUCUUUGCCAAGGCCACAAGGCCCUGUACUACCUGAACCUCCCCGCUUGCUAAGACCUCCCUCUCUUACUCUGUGCCAGCCACGCCUACCUUGGUGCUUUCCGUGAACACACCAGGGGCACACUCCCACCUUGGAUCUUCAUACUGGCUGUUCACUCUUCUCAUUCCUCACCUCCCUCAGACCUCUGCUCAGAGGUCACCUUUGCUGUGAGGCUUACCUUGACUGUCCCAUUUAAAAGUGCACCCCGACAUUCUGCAUGGUGGCUUCCCUCUUCCAUUGUGCAUGUCCUCUUCUUACAUACUGGAGUUUCUUGAGCCUUGUGUUUGCUGUCUUCUCCCUCCAGCAUUAUCCGUUUUGUGCCCUGCAGCAUUCCCACAGCAACCAGCACAGCCCUUGUGUGGUGGAGGUGCCGGGCAUACUGAGAUGCAUCUGUCAGCAUCUGCCUCCUGGUACCUUGGGCCUGCAUGUCUGGCAGGCAGGUAGAAGAACACGCUGGCCAUUUCAAUGUUAAGACAAAGAGGUAGAGAAGGCUGGAUGAAGGAGGUGAUGACUGAACCAUAUCCUGAGGCAGCUGGGGUUUCCAGGAAGAGGACAGAGAGAAGGACAUUCAGGUGGAGGAGCCAGCAGAUGUGACAACCAGUGCACAGAGAGAUUAACUAACUUGCCGUCCAGUGGGCAUGUGGUGGAGCCCAGGGUGAAACCCAGGCAGUCUCU
This 3583-nucleotide long non-coding RNA is filed under the name Homo sapiens (human). Its description in RNAcentral is "HSALNT0291494". Lineage: Eukaryota; Metazoa; Chordata; Mammalia; Primates; Hominidae. The record is from RNAcentral.